UGGGGAAUAUUGGACAAUGGGCGCAAGCCUGAUCCAGCCAUGCCGCGUGCGGGAAGAAGGCCUUCGGGUUGUAAACCGCUUUUGUCAGGGAAGAAACGCUCUGGGCUAAUACCCUGGGGUAAUGACGGUACCUGAAGAAUAAGCACCGGCUAACUACGUGCCAGCAGCCGCGGUAAUACGUAGGGUGCAAGCGUUAAUCGGAAUUACUGGGCGUAAAGCGCGCGUAGGUGGUUUGUUAAGUCUGAUGUGAAAGCCCUGGGCUCAACCUGGGAAUUGCAUUGGAUACUGGCAGGCUAGAGUGCGGUAGAGGAUGGCGGAAUUCCCGGUGUAGUAGUGAAAUGCGUAGAGAUCGGGAGGAACAUCUGUGGCGAAGGCGGCCAUCUGGACCAGCACUGACACUGAGGCACGAAAGCGUGGGGAGCAAACAGGAUUAGAUACCCACUAGUCCCUGAGCGGGCUGGCAAGGCGCAU
RNAcentral lists this ribosomal RNA (471 nucleotides) under uncultured bacterium. Its description in RNAcentral is "bacterial SSU rRNA". It matches the Rfam family "Bacterial small subunit ribosomal RNA", at positions 355 to 825 of the family's 1533-position model. The record is from RNAcentral.